This is a long non-coding RNA of Acanthopagrus latus (yellowfin seabream), 2801 nucleotides long. RefSeq lists it as uncharacterized. Lineage: Eukaryota; Metazoa; Chordata; Actinopteri; Spariformes; Sparidae. The transcript is spliced from 9 exons. The record is from RefSeq and is a predicted model, not a curated record.
GUUACUACUCUCUCAGACUUGGCUGGAUUUGUAACUCUCAUAUCUGUAAAUACUACAGCCAGCAGUGUGUUGGGUUAGCUUAGCAUAAAGACUGGAAACAGGGGGACGAUGUGCCAGACUCUGUCCAAAUGUAACAAAAUCUGCCCAACCAGCACCUCCAAAGCCAAACACAAUCGCCAGAAUAAACGUUCUGCUGUGAAGGGAGGAUUGUUCCCUGGAAAUGAAUCAGAGCUGAAAUGAAGGAUGUCAGAGGGAUCUUUGAAUAUAUCAAGCUGACGGUGCACACAGGUGAUGGACGUAGAAACCAACCCACCCUGACAGGAGAGUGGCAGCUGGAAUGGACUUUGAAACUGGAAUGAUGUCGGUGGUACAAUAUGAAAAUGCAUCUGGCAACACAGACAUGUUUGGUGAAAUGGUUCAGAGGUCUGGAACGUCGCUACUUUCUCGCUUCCUUCUGAAUCCACACACCAUCACUGGAGCAAAUCAAUAGAGCAGGAACGUCAUCCAUCUUUAAGACAAGCACUAACACAGGAAUGAGAGUAUGAUCUGGAAUACUGAGGAAGAAGAACUGUAAGACAUUCAAUUUGGAUACCCUUCAGCUAAAACAACAGGGUCACAAGAGCAUUUCACAACAUUGCUUUCAAAUGUGAUCUCUAUUACAUUGUGUCAGAUGCUAUAUUUAAAGGCAGGCAUUGUGUAAUUGUAAGUGGCAUUUUUUUUAGUUCACAAACAUGUUCUUUCUCUUCUAACUCUUUCACAAAAUAGUCCCACCCUCUCUUCAGUUUUCUCUACAAAUGUUAUUGUUUCCCAGAUGGUAUGCGUAGAAGGAGUUCUUGGCUGGUACUUGGAGUCUCCUCUACCGAUAAUGUAGGCUACUUACAAGUAUGAGUGUCAUCUGAGUACAGUGUCUCCAUAUCUGUAUUUACACUGAAGGGAAAUCUUCAUAGGGUAGCUGACUGAAGUUUAGUACAAACUCGAGUUGAUAAAACAACAAAUGUUCUGUAAACGGUUCUUUUACUCUCGUGAUCAAAGAUAGUGAUCUAAAGCGCGAUUCUAAGGCUGUUCUGUAAAUCAUGGUCAAAGGUUUUAGUUCAGUUGCCUUCAAUUUUUGAUGUUGAAAGCUUAUCCUCAUGUGCCAUGUUUUACUUUCCAAUUCCUGUCUUUGUCUGAUUUGCUGCCCUUUUUCAGUGUACACCUGUGUUUCAUUUGUUUAUUGACCAUUUUGAAGUCUUUUUGUUUCUGAGUCCUUGUUUACUCCUGAUUGGUUCCUCAUGACUUUAUGAUUUGUUAGGGUCCUUUUUUUCAUCAACAGGUGUAAGCAGAAAAGGGAGAGGAAAACAAAGACAAAGACAGGAAGUGGAAGGCGAUGAUAAACUUUCAACAUUAAACAGUAGAUCAACUGAUAUAUAACCUGGGAACAUGACACAGUUAAUAAAUAUAGCAACCCCAUAUAAUUUAAGGCUUAUAUAAUCUUAGCCAUGCCUGCUUUCUACGCAAGCACCACCCACUCCCAUUUCAAGCCCUGCUAACUCUGAGUAUGGAUGUUUGAACAGAUACAGAUAAUAGUGUACUCGCUCCUCCCUACUAUUUACUAUCAACACAGAGCAACAUUACCAAUAAUUUCAGGUUUUUUAUCCAAUAUCAAGCUUUCCUUUUAGCUCUAUUUUGGUCUCAACCAACUCCCAAAGGGACGCACUUGGCUGCUAAAUGCUCCACUACCUGUCUGUUGUGAUGUGGUGCUGUGCAGGUUGCACAGAACAAACAGCGAAACAAUGAGCUGAAAUUUGCUGAGGCUGCUGCCUUCUGGGAAAUGCAGGGUCAGGCAGUAAUUCUCCAUGGGGUCGCCCCUAUAUGAGCAGCUCCUUUCAUAGAGCUGAAGGCAGAGUCAUCUAUCACUUCUCAAGGCAGUCGGGGGAAGAGCGAGUCGGAGCUUUAGCGAGACCCGGCAGCUCCCAUUCCUCCCAGAUUUACUCCGACAGCCUCACACCUACACUCUGUUGAAAAAAAUAAUAAUCAUCAGUUCCUUCCAGCUGGAAACUGUCUCUCAAUCUGAUCAUUCUAUCUCUCUAGCUGCACCCUUCAUCCCUGGAUCUAUUCCCCGAUCUCUGCUCAGGGCUCGGUGGCACUGAAGUUGGAGCACACUGGUCGCACAGUGUAUCCUGGCUGUCACUCAGUUUGGACCAGAGAGUAAUGGAUGUCUGAAGGACCGAGGGGAACGACAACAGGGGACUGUGACUGAUGCACCUUUGUGUCCGGAGAACACUACAACUGAUUGGUUUCUGUGAUCUAGUGAGAAUGCAUCUACUGCCUCUGGCUGCAGUUGGAUACUUGUAUGUCCGAGCCAAUCAGGACUGACUGAUGGUUGCACAGUGCUGUGAUAAGUGAUAUAGAAGCUCAGUGAUGGCCUACUUACAGCUUACAUCUUUGUGUAUGUUGAAUAAUAACAGAAAUGAUUCAGAAGGUUGUUUUUUUUUAUAUAAGCAAGGACUUCAGUCGAAAUGGGAAAAGUUUAAGAUGGCAUUUUCUGCAUUUUAAGGCACGGCUAAGACAGCCAGCCACCGAUGCAUCAUCCUCUGAAGGCCAUUCAGAGAAAGGUUACUGUCCACCUCCGAAGACGAACGCCAGCGCUGGCCUUGAAGCCGCCCUGCAAAGAAUGAUGUGCACUCCUGAAAGUGUUUGUGUGUGUGUGAGACGGGAAGACAGACGGAGGUCAGAGAGAAAGCAAGAGCAUGUUUGAUAAUGUGAAGCAGUCUUUCACUGUGCAGCAACCCUUACAGCCGGCCACGUUUCUGACAUACUCA